GACUCGAUAGCUCAAUGAGUAGAGCGGCGGUCUAGAUACCCGAAGAUGCGAGUUCAAAUCCCGCUCGAGCCA
This 72-nucleotide transfer RNA is filed under the name Paramuricea clavata. It matches the Rfam family "tRNA". From Rfam's summary of the family: Transfer RNA (tRNA) molecules are approximately 80 nucleotides in length. Their secondary structure includes four short double-helical elements and three loops (D, anti-codon, and T loops). The record is from Rfam by way of RNAcentral. Lineage: Eukaryota; Metazoa; Cnidaria; Anthozoa; Malacalcyonacea; Plexauridae.